GCUCCCCUACAGACGUCCUGACAGCACAGCCAUGGCCAUGGACUGGAGCUGGAGAGUCCUCUUCCUGGUGGCAGUGGCUACAGGUGUCCACUCCGAGGUCCAGCUGGUGCAGCCUGGGGCUGAGGUGAGGAAGUCCGGGGCCUCAGUGAAGGUGUCCUGCAAGGCUUCCGGAUACACCUUCACUGGCUACUACAUGAGCUGGGUGCGACAGGCCCCAGGACAAGGGCUUGAGUGGAUGGGACGAAUAGACCCUAGCGAUAGUUACACAAACUAUGCACAGAAGUUCCAGGGCAGAGUCACCAUGACCGCAGACAAGUCCACCAGCAAAGCCUACAUGGAGCUGAGCAGUCUGAGACCUGAGGAUACGGCCAUGUAUUACUGUGCGAGAGACACAUUGUGAUGAGCCACAUCCUGAGAGUGUCAGAAACCCUGAGGGAGAGGACAGCUGUGCGGGGCUGAGGAGGUGAUAGGGGCAGCUGGGCACAGCCUUUUUUUGACUCAGGGAUAUAAAUAUAGAGGCAAAGGAAAUGCUUUCGUUAAUUAUGUACGAAAUAUUUUUAGUUCUGUGCUGGCAAAGCAACUCCCAGGAGGAGAAAAUAUAACUGUUGGGAGCCAUGCAGGCUGGCUUAGCUGAAGCAUAACUUGUUUUGCUUCUUGUUUUGCUCCUUUCUGCACCUGGAGGGUGCUUACUUAACCUUGAGGUAUGUGGUGAGAAUGGCCAGUUCCUUGGAAGACACAAUAAGAUAGAGGGCUAUCUGGGUUUAUGGAAGAAAGUGUCCUGGGAAACUGACCCUCUAAGUUUUCCACUGACCUUCAAGUUUCUAGUAGAUAGCUAAUGAUGUACUUUUGAAUGAGGUAAUGCAUAUUUGUCCCUUCUGUUUUGCACAUACACUGGAUGUAUAUAAUGAUGAUGGGAAAUAAAC
Non-coding RNA from Hipposideros armiger (great roundleaf bat), 923 nucleotides. The record is from the annotation of a RefSeq genome assembly. Lineage: Eukaryota; Metazoa; Chordata; Mammalia; Chiroptera; Hipposideridae.